GACGAACGCUGGCGGCGUGCUUAACACAUGCAAGUCGAACGGAAAGGCCCUGCUUUUGUGGGGUGCUCGAGUGGCGAACGGGUGAGUACACGUGAGUAACCUGCCCUUGACUUUGGUAUAACUUCAUGAAACUGGGGCUAAUACCGUAUAGGAGCUCCUGCUGCUUGGUGUGGGUUUGAAAGUUUCGGCGGUUGGGGAUUGACUGGCGGCUUAUCAGCUUGUUGGUGUGGUAGUGGCUUACCAAGGCUUUGACGGGUAGCCGGCCUGAGAGGGUGACCGGCGAAAAUGGGACUGAGAUACGGAACAGACGGCUACGGGAGGCAGCAGUGGGGAAUAUUGCACAAUGGGCGGAAGCCUGAUGCAGCAACGCCGCGUGCGGGAUGAAGGCCUUCGGGUUGUAAAACGCUUUAGCAUGUGACGAAGAGUGAGUGACGGUAAUGGGUAAAGAAGCACCGGCUAACUACGUG
Molecule: ribosomal RNA, 467 nt
Filed under: uncultured bacterium
Lineage: Bacteria
Description: partial 16S ribosomal RNA
Rfam family: Bacterial small subunit ribosomal RNA
Source: RNAcentral